This 86-nucleotide transfer RNA is filed under the name Sclerotinia borealis F-4128. It matches the Rfam family "tRNA". Rfam says of the family: Transfer RNA (tRNA) molecules are approximately 80 nucleotides in length. Their secondary structure includes four short double-helical elements and three loops (D, anti-codon, and T loops). Lineage: Eukaryota; Fungi; Ascomycota; Leotiomycetes; Helotiales; Sclerotiniaceae. The record is from Rfam by way of RNAcentral.
GGCCUGAUAGUUCAGUGGUAGAAUUCUUGCUUUGGGUUGUUAAUCUAAAAUGUAAGAGGUCUCCGGUUCAAUCCCGGAUUAGGCCC